This 210-nucleotide long non-coding RNA is filed under the name Mytilus galloprovincialis (Mediterranean mussel). Lineage: Eukaryota; Metazoa; Mollusca; Bivalvia; Mytilida; Mytilidae. The record is from RNAcentral.
GUCGGGUUGGAGUCGUGAUUGAGUCGUGAGUGGUCGAGUUAAGUUCGUGUACAGUCGGAUAGCAGUAGGGUAGAAGUCGUAAACGGGUCCGAUCAAGAAUUAAGUCACGCUUGAUCGUGGAAAUUUGUGAUAUCGGGAUCAUCGAGUUGAUCUGAUCGGAAUGUGAACCUAGCUUUAACGCUAGAUUCACAAUUCCGAUCACAUCAAUUC